GCUUGCCGGACCUAGCCGUGCUGCAGCUUGGCCAGAAUCGGCGCCUAAAUCGACGUCGGGCGGACGGCGGACCAGCGUCGCCACCCAGUGGCGCGGAGGUUGGUGAGCCGGCACGGGGCGACUACACAAGAGGGCGGCGCCUCGGGCUUGUGGAGGAGCUUGGAGGAGGGGUCGAGGGAGCGAGAUGAAGGACGUCGAGGACCGCAGCUAGAGCGCCAUGGAUUUGAUAUGCCCUUGGAGAGGAAGAAGGGGGACGGGGAUGCUUGGAGGGGGAGAGGGACUGCAAUCUUUGUCUCCAGCUCGGGUCGUCAAUUCUGUCCUCAAGAAAGCCGCCGGGCUGCAGUUCGUGUACUCAACAUCACCUACACAGGACACAGGUAAAUCUCGUUUUCUUUUUGUGUUGCUCCCAUCUAAUGCAAAUUGAAUUGGGAUAAAGCUGAGAGCAAAUCCAUUCUGUUUAAAUAAAAUUAUUUUCAUGCAAUUGUCAAUCUAGUGCUCACAAUGCUCACUACUAAACUCAGAGUCUUGGACCAAUUGAUCUGUUCUCUGCUUGCUCUAUGCCUCUAGGUUUGACAUUUGGAUAGAUGGUUAUGUCUGCACUUUUGUCAAUAGAAUUAAAAUUGAUUCCUGCCAUCCCUAUCAUCAUACGUAAACUGAAGGAUAGCUGACAGGUCAGAUGCGCAUGAUGCAUGUGGACAUUGUGCAUAGAUAAUUCUUUGAACGAUUAUAUUUGACUGGGGAGAUGGAGUAGCAUUCAAAAAGAAAAAAAACUGGUUCAUACAAGUUCAAAUAAAAAUCACUUGUAGCUUGGAAGUCUAACACACAUGCGAUAAAACUAUUCCUUUUACAGAAAAGAUUAGGUUGGCUUCGGUUGAUUGAGAAAGAAUUGAUUUUGUCCUGUCAUUAAACUAGAGUCAGAGGUCCCAAUGCUCCCUUGCAGUGAGGAAUUCAGCGUGGAAUGUUGCUGUUGUAAAUAUGUAUACAUGUAAUUUGUUGGAUGACCCUGUGCAAAAAAUUAGAGAAGUUUAGUUUCAUUGAAGUUCUGAAACUAUACUUGAAAUGAAAGUGUGGACUGCUUAUACCACUGGAGUAUUGCCGUGUUCUUGGAUCUGCGGUGGCAUUGGGAUGGUAUGACCACUGGAUUGCAGCAUUGAAGCAUUUAGGAUAGAUGUUGGAUUCGGUUGAUGGAGGAAGUCUUGAUUUUCUCCUGUCAUCAAACCAGAGUUAGAGGCCCCAACGGUACCCUGCAGCGAGGUGUACAUGUUAUUUGUCGGAUGACCCUGUAGAGAAAGCAAAGUUCAGUUGCACUGAAGUUUAAAAAAUAGGAAAAAUGAAAGUGUGGACUGCUUCUACCAUUGCUGUAUUGUAUGGUUGGAAUCCAGCCAACAGUUGUUGGGUCUGUGGUGGCAUAGGGAUGGCAUUACCAAUUGAUGGUUGCAUUGAAGCACUUAGUAUAGCAUUAUAGUGUAAUUGAUAUGCAGCCAUUUGAUUUGUGAAAAAUUCCAUAGGACCCUAUAGAAAAUGAUAGAGAAAGGUCAGUACAGUUGAGGUUUUAUAAGAAACAAGCAACAUUGUAUUAUUACCGUCAGCGGGUCAUGAGGCUGUAGUUGUAUAAUAUCAUUUGUGUUCUUUUUCUUCUUUAAAGUUGCUUUCUUCAAAGGACCCUAUCGAAAAUGAUAGAGAAAGGUCAACACAUUGAAUAUUUUAUACGAAUCGAGUGACUAAAUAUUAUACCGUUGAGGGGCCACGAGGCUCUAGAUGCACAGUAUCAUUUGUGUUCUUUUUCUUCUUUGAAGUUGCUUUCUCAAAUCCACCAAUGGGUCUUUUUGAUCCUUUCACAGUCUUCUCCUUGACCUUCAUACCUUUUGGUUUUGCAAGCCCCUCACCGUGUUUUGAAAUUCUACUAGAGGCGAUGUUCGUUCCUGCCAGUAUAAUGCCAAAUAUCAGUCGUUGUUCAACAAUAGUGUAGGUAAUUAUUGUUAGUAUAGUUUGUACCUUCUUUAGUACUGGAGUUACCCAAAUCUGGAUUAGCACUAACCAAAUCUGGAUCAGCGCGAACCAAAUCUGGAUCAACAUGAACCAAAUGUGGAUCGGCGCUAACCAAAUCUGGAUCAGCUCUAAUCUUCAAGCAUUUCUCCACAUCUUGUGCUAAUUGCUCUGCACACUUAGCAGCCUUAUAGUAUGAUUCUUCAGACUCAGCGGCACGAGCAGCUAUUUUCACAAAUAUUCUGCAUAGUUCCUUGUAGCGGUUAGACAUUCUUGCUUUUAGGUUAUCACGCGGGUUGCAUUUGCUUGUUAUAUCUAGAACUUUGGCAUCAAUUGUCCAUCUUUUCAAGAUAUAUUCCCCAGGGAUAUGCUUGAUAUUGUUAAUAUCAAGUACCUUUAAGCAAUGAGAGCAAAGAAUUCCAGCAAACUCAAACCUUUUGCAACUGCAGCUAACCUUUUCUUUUUUUGGAAUGAAUCUAACAACAUGUUCACGUUGUGUGCCAUGAAAUUUUACUACAUAAAUCUUCACCUUUGUGUCACUUUCAUCACAAAGCAUUGUGUCAUAGUUCAGAGUCCGAAGCACUUGAUCUUGAACCAUCUUGAAUAUUGCUGGAGUAUAUGUAGCUGCAGCUUGUUUUAACAUAUAGCUAGAUUCAGCCUUCAACUUGGGAGUAGUCUGUGUUGCUUUAAAGUCAUACUUCACCUCUUCACAUCUUUUAUCCGAAACUAGCCGUUCAAAAUGCUUAAAGAAAGUAAGCAUGUCAUAUUUAAUACUAAUGUAUCUCUUCAGUUCAUUGUUCAUGCUUUCACUUCUUUGGGUAGUGCUCAUGUGGGCAGCGAACGUAUUUUUACCGUACACUAGUGCCUAGUGUUCCUUUUUCUCAAAUAGCCUUUGCAGCCAUUCAUUGUCACGCAGUCCAUACUUGUCAAUCAUUUUAUCCCAUGCACCUACAAAUUCAUCCUCCUCUUCUAUAUCAUAUAUACAGUGCUGAAAAUCAACAUUGAACUUCUUAUAUUCGUCAACAACUCCGGCGAGGUGCUUGCAAGCAUUUUGAUUCAUAUGCCACACACAAAGUCUAUGGUGAGAGUGGGGAAAGACUUCACGAAUUGCCUUCGCCAUUGCUGCAUCUUCAUCGGUGAGAAUUGUACGUGGAUGUUUUCCUGACAUAACUUUUAGGAAAGUUCUGAAAAGCCAAGCAAAACUAGCAGCGGUUUCAUCAUAUAGAAGUGCAGCACCAAAGACAAUAGUUUUCUUAUGAUUAUUCACCCCGACAAUCAAACCAAAUGGACGUCCAUCAUCUAGUUUUCUGUAUGUGGUGUCAAAGCAUAUAACAUCGCCGAACAUUGCAUAGUCUGAAACCAUUUUGGAGUCGGCCCAAAAAAUAUUAGUUAUCAACUCAUCCUCAUCCACUUGAAUUGAAUAGAAGAAGUUGACAUCUUCUGAGACCUUUUUCUCCAUGUAUUCUAAUACCCCCCCCUGUGUCACCUACCUUUGCUUUUAUUGUUCUCUUUGAGUACAAACAAUUUUUCAUAUCUUGAGGUGUAAAGCCAAGGUUUUCACUUCCACCUGCUUCUUUAGCCAUCAAAUCGAUUGUUGCUUUAUUUGAAAUGCCAACUGACUUUGCAACCUCUGCGUUUGCUAUCUGUGCUUCUGUCACUUUUCUCUGGGAUCUCAAGUAUUGGGCCAUGAGUCCAUUAGCAAGAGUGUGGUUAUGCGACGCCUCGAAUUCAUACACAUAAUAAAAUCCAUCUCUAAGGCUAAUCUUCAUACGGGCAUCACAACCACAUCGUGUUUCAGGCCUACUAUAAGUGAAUGUCUCCUCUCUUUUAUCUUCCCGGCGAUGGCCUAUAAGUUGUUGUAAUUGUCUUAGAGCAUAAAUAAAUGAUUAUAAUUUUUAAAAAUGAAAAUAACCCAUACCUUGACGAGAGCAUGUAAAUGUCCGUUGUUGAAAUGUAGAAGAGUUCAUCACUUUAUGACCAUUGCUUCUUCUGAUGCUAAAACCGAUGGUUUUAGCAUACUUGUUAUAAAAUAAAUAAGCUUCCUCUUCAGAUAAAAAUUUCAUGCCAUGCUUUGGUACCCUUUCAUCGGUGUGAUCUACUGUAGUUUCUUGAUCCUAUAUCAGUUAGGAUUCAAUUUAGUUAAUACACACAUAUAGCAAUCAUAUUUGCCUAUCAUGAGUUUUUAUGAACUGCAUCAUAAAUCAUAUUUAUAUCUCUUGCAAUCGUAUUUGUCUUAAGAAACAUGGAGUGCAUUGAGACAUCAGGAGUCUUAAGUUUUAGAGAAGAAAUCGUGAUGCACUCUAGAAUCCUUGUUCUGUUUAUAUUUCAUAUCUGUACACGGUUUGUGCAAGUAUAUUCAACUAUCUCUUAUGUUUGUCCAUGAACUAUAUGUAUUGUAAAAAGAAUAGAAAAAACUGUAGUGCAUGUUUUCCAAAACCUGAAAUCAGAGAUGGUACAAGAACGUCUGAAAUUGGCUACUGUACAUGACACUGCUUUGUUUUUCUAAAUUAAAAAAAAACUAACUUUCCAUUGUUGUUUGGCUUUUGCAGAAUGCGGUCACAGAUUCCUGUAGAAGUUCUACAAGGGUGCAGCACACUGCUUUUUCCCGGCCAACACUCUGGAUCGUGUCACAGUUGAUGGAAAGUGGAUCUUUUAGGCAAACAUAUUUGUGUGCACUGCUGGAUGAGAAGUCUCCCGCAAUGGUUCAAAACAAAGAAAUUAGAGAAUUUGCCGCAGAUUCAUCGUCAGAACCGAAUGAGAUAUCUUACUUUUGGUGCAUGAGAUUGUUCGUCAGUGUCCUGGUUCCCUGGAACACUCCUCGGAGAAGUCGUCAGGGAUGCAAGAUUCGGAGAAGCCAUCAGGGACGCGGAUUCCUUUGCUGCUCAAUUGAAGAGAAGAGUUUCCUGAUUCCUGGUUAAGCCACUAUUGAUAAUUGUGCGCUUUAAGGCUGUAAGGUCACUUCCGCCUCAUAUGAGAUGUAGAUCUUGCAUUUUGGCGCCCUUUUGUGUAUUCUGUGGUUCUUUUGGCGGGUAUUGAAGAAGGGAAUCAGUAUUACGAUGUGUAUUUUGUUUUUUUUCCACUUAAAAUCAGGAUCAAUCGUUGCGUGCGUGGAGCGGGGCGUCCGUGGAGCCAGGGCCGUGCGAUGGACACGCCGCACGGAUGGUCGCACGCAGCGGCCGC
RNAcentral lists this long non-coding RNA (5166 nucleotides) under Triticum aestivum (bread wheat). Its description in RNAcentral is "long non-coding RNA (TAES_LNC004237)". The record is from RNAcentral. Lineage: Eukaryota; Viridiplantae; Streptophyta; Magnoliopsida; Poales; Poaceae.